GGUCCCAUCGUCUAGUGGUUAGGACGCCGGCCUCUCACGCCGGUAACGGGGGUUCGACUCCCCCUGGGAUCACCA
RNAcentral lists this transfer RNA (75 nucleotides) under Desulfobacter sp. Its description in RNAcentral is "tRNA-Glu". It matches the Rfam family "tRNA". From Rfam's summary of the family: Transfer RNA (tRNA) molecules are approximately 80 nucleotides in length. Their secondary structure includes four short double-helical elements and three loops (D, anti-codon, and T loops). Further hydrogen bonds mediate the characteristic L-shaped molecular structure. tRNAs have two regions of fundamental functional importance: the anti-codon, which is responsible for specific mRNA codon recognition, and the 3' end, to which the tRNAs corresponding amino acid is attached (by aminoacyl-tRNA synthetases). tRNAs cope with the degeneracy of the genetic code in two manners: having more than one tRNA (with a specific anti-codon) for a particular amino acid; and 'wobble' base-pairing, i.e. permitting non-standard base-pairing at the 3rd anti-codon position. The record is from RNAcentral. Lineage: Bacteria; Pseudomonadati; Thermodesulfobacteriota; Desulfobacteria; Desulfobacterales; Desulfobacteraceae. RNAcentral also lists the same sequence under 1 other name.